Molecule: ribosomal RNA, 496 nt
Filed under: uncultured bacterium
Lineage: Bacteria
Description: partial 16S ribosomal RNA
Rfam family: Bacterial small subunit ribosomal RNA
Source: RNAcentral
ACGAACGCUGGCGGCGUGCCUUAUACAUGCCAGUUGAGCGCUGAAGGUUGGUACUUGUACCAACUGGAUGAGCAGCGAACGGGUGAGUAACGCGUGGGGAAUCUGCCUUUGAGCGGGGGACAACAUUUGGAAACGAAUGCUAAUACCGCAUAAAAACUUUAAACACAAGUUUUAAGUUUGAAAGAUGCCAUUGCAUCACUCAAAGAUGAUCCCGCGUUGUAUUAGCUAGUUGGUGAGGUAAAGGCCCACCAAGGCGAUGAUACAUAGCCGACCUGAGAGGGAGGACGGCCAAAUUGGGAAUGAGACACGGCCCCAACUCCUACGGGAGGCAGCCGUAGGGAAACUUCGGCAAUGGACGAAAGUCUGACCGAGGAACGCCGCGGGAGUGAAGAAGGUUUUCGGAUCGCAAAACUCUGUUGGUAGAGAAGAACGUUGGUGGGAGUGGAAAGCUCAUCAAGUGACGGUAACUACACAGAAAGGGACGGCUAACUACGUG